CCCUAAUAAUAAAAACGCGAGCAGAUAUGUCAUAACCAGAAUCGAACAAUCGUCAUCGCAUAUGUUCCAAAUCGAAGGAACCGGAUGUCGUCCCGACACGAUGCGUAAGAAUUACUUUUUAAUCAAAAUAGUCUCGUAUUAAUAAAACAUAAUGCGUUGUGUAAUAUAUCUUGUGACCGAAAACCAGUAAUGCACGGUGUAAAAACCAGUACUCCCUCCGAUGCAUAAUAAGUGUUGAGGAUCUAGUACAAAGUCAGUACAAAUUUGUAUUGAAUCUUCGAGACUUGUUAUGGAUCGGAGUCAGUAGUAUAGAUCUGAGGCGAACUGAAAACAAGGACAAACCCGGAAAGCAAGGGAAUCUAACUGAUGGAUGGCAUUAUUUAUCCCAAUAAAAAAAAACUGAUGGAUGGCAUAUGGAUGCAUGACGAGGCUAGCUAUAGCUUGAUGGAUGGAUGCUCAUUUGGGACAGGCACACCUUCCGGUGCAAUAGGACAUGCAGGGCGGUUGAGCCCUAUGGCACCCCGCGCAUUCCAUGUCCGAGCGCCCGCACGCGGCUACGCAGCUGCAGGUGCUCGAGCUGCACACUUGGUAGCAUUCCUGCUCGCAGCUCGUCGUCUCCUGCGCGUUCAGUGUCACGGCCGCCAGCAGCAGCAGCAGCACUACGCACAAGACUACAACGGAGGACGCUUUGGCCGCGGAAGCCAUUUUGGCUGGGGAGCUAGCUAGCUAGAUCGAGAGCACGGAGAAGAUGAAU
RNAcentral lists this long non-coding RNA (754 nucleotides) under Brachypodium distachyon (stiff brome). RNAcentral's name for it is "long non-coding RNA (BDIS_LNC002836)". The record is from RNAcentral. Lineage: Eukaryota; Viridiplantae; Streptophyta; Magnoliopsida; Poales; Poaceae.